Molecule: ribosomal RNA, 253 nt
Filed under: uncultured bacterium
Lineage: Bacteria
Description: partial 16S ribosomal RNA
Rfam family: Bacterial small subunit ribosomal RNA
Source: RNAcentral
UACGUAGGGGGCAAGCGUUGUCCGGAAUCAUUGGGCGUAAAGCGCGUGUAGGCGGUUCGGUAAGUCUGCUGUGAAAGUCCAGGGCUCAACCCUGGGAUGCCGGUGGAUACUGUCGAACUAGAGUACGGAAGAGGCGAGUGGAAUUCCCGGUGUAGCGGUGAAAUGCGCAGAUAUCGGGAGGAACACCAAUUGCGAAGGCAGCUCGCUGGGACGUCACUGACGCUGAGACGCGAAAGCGUGGGGAGCAAACAGG